RNAcentral lists this ribosomal RNA (253 nucleotides) under uncultured bacterium. RNAcentral describes it as "partial 16S ribosomal RNA". It matches the Rfam family "Bacterial small subunit ribosomal RNA", at positions 524 to 776 of the family's 1533-position model. The record is from RNAcentral.
UACAGGGGUCCCAAGCGUUGUUCGGAUUCAUUGGGCGUAAAGGGUGCGUAGGCGGCGCGGUAAGUCGGGUGUGAAAUCUCGGAGCUUAACUCCGAAACUGCAUUCGAUACUGCCGUGCUUGAGGACUGGAGAGGAGACUGGAAUUUACGGUGUAGCGGUGAAAUGCGUAGAUAUCGUAAGGAAGACCAGUGGCGAAGGCGGGUCUCUGGACAGUUCCUGACGCUGAGGCACGAAGGCUAGGGGAGCAAACGGG